This 460-nucleotide ribosomal RNA is filed under the name uncultured bacterium. RNAcentral's name for it is "partial 16S ribosomal RNA". It matches the Rfam family "Bacterial small subunit ribosomal RNA", at positions 338 to 795 of the family's 1533-position model. The record is from RNAcentral.
CCUACGGGAGGCAGCAGUGAGGAAUAUUGGUCAAUGAGCGAGAGCCUGAACCAGCCAAGUCGCGUGAAGGAUGACGGCCCUACGGGUUGUAAACUUCUUUUGUCAGGGAGAAAUUGGGUCCACGCGUGGGCUUAGCGAGAGUACCUGAAGAAAAAGCAUCGGCUAACUCCGUGCCAGCAGCCGCGGUAAUACAGAGGAUGCGAGCGUUAUCCGGAUUUAUUGGGUUUAAAGGGUGCGUAGGCGGAAUAUCAAGUCAGCGGUAAAAAUUCGGGGCUCAACCCCGUCGUGCCGUGGAAACUGAUGUUCUUGAGUGGGCGAGAGGUAUGCGGAAUGCGUGGUGUAGCGGUGAAAUGCAUAGAUAUCACGCAGAACACCGAGUGCGAAGGCAGCAUACCGGCGCCCAACUGACGCUGAGGCACGAAAGCGUGGGGAUCGAACAGGAUUAGAUACCCCAGUAGUC